GUCUACAGCCAUGCCACCCUGAACAAGCCCAAUCCCGUCUGAUCUCGGAAGCUAAGCAGGGUCGGGCCUGGUUAGUUCUUGGAUACUUGGAUGGGAUACUAGGAAGACCAGGUGCUGUAGGCA
This 123-nucleotide ribosomal RNA is filed under the name Pteropus alecto (black flying fox). The record is from RNAcentral. Lineage: Eukaryota; Metazoa; Chordata; Mammalia; Chiroptera; Pteropodidae.